UACGUAGGCAGCAAGCGUUGUUCGGAGUUACUGGGCGUAAAGGGUGUGUAGGCGGUUCCUUAAGUUUGCUGUGAAAUCUCCCGGCUUAACCGGGAGGGUGCGGUGAAUACUGAAUGACUUGGAGUGCGGGAGAGGUGAGUGGAAUUCCUGGUGUAGCGGUGAAAUGCGUAGAUAUCAGGAGGAACACCGGUGGUGUAGACGGCUCACUGGACCGUAACUGACGCUGAGACACGAAAGCGUGGGUAGCAAACAGG
This 254-nucleotide ribosomal RNA is filed under the name uncultured bacterium. Its description in RNAcentral is "partial 16S ribosomal RNA". It matches the Rfam family "Bacterial small subunit ribosomal RNA", at positions 524 to 776 of the family's 1533-position model. The record is from RNAcentral.